GGCGGAUUCCAGCAGCCGCGGUAAUACGUUCCCGGGCCUUGUACACACCGCCCGUCACACCACGGGAGUGAGCAACACCCGAAGCUGGUGGCCUAACCCCUUUGGGGAGGGAGCCGUCGAAGGUGGGGCUCGUGACUGGGGUGAAGUCGUAGCAAGGUAGCCGUAGCGGAAGCUGCGGCUGGAUCACCUCCUUUCUAGGGAAGCUCCUCUCAGAGGAGCCGGAUCGGAAACGCUCCUGCCGGCGCCCACGUGCCUUCGUCGCACGUGGGAUGACCCGAGCAGGACACGGCCUAUCUGCCUGG
RNAcentral lists this unclassified non-coding RNA (302 nucleotides) under uncultured Patulibacter sp. Its description in RNAcentral is "partial contains 16S ribosomal RNA, 16S-23S ribosomal RNA intergenic spacer, and 23S ribosomal RNA". The stretch from base 1 to 194 matches the Rfam family "Bacterial small subunit ribosomal RNA", at positions 1343 to 1533 of the family's 1533-position model. The record is from RNAcentral. Lineage: Bacteria; Bacillati; Actinomycetota; Thermoleophilia; Solirubrobacterales; Patulibacteraceae.